RNAcentral lists this ribosomal RNA (513 nucleotides) under uncultured bacterium. RNAcentral describes it as "partial 16S ribosomal RNA". It matches the Rfam family "Bacterial small subunit ribosomal RNA", at positions 28 to 523 of the family's 1533-position model. The record is from RNAcentral.
GACGAACGCUGGCUGCAUGCCUAAUACAUGCAAGUCGAGCGAACAGAUGAAGUGCUUGCACUUCUGACGUUAGCGGCGAACGGGUGAGUAACACGUAAGGAAUCUACCUAUAAGCGGGGGAUAACAUUCGGAAACGGGUGCUAAUACCGCAUAAUAUCUUCUUCCGCAUGGAAGAAGAUUGAAAGACGGCUCUGCUGUCACUUAUAGAUGACCUUGCGGUGCAUUAGUUAGUUGGUGGGGUAAUGGCCUACCAAGACGAUGAUGCAUAGCCGACCUGAGGGGGUGAGCGGCCACAUUGGGACUGAGACACGGCCCAAACUCCUACGGGAGGCAGCAGUAGGGAAUCUUCCGCAAUGGGCGAAAGCCUGACGGAGCAAUGCCGCGUGAGUGAAGAAGGCCUUCGGGUCGUAAAACUCUGUUAUAAGAGAAGAACAAAUUGUAGAGUAACUGCUACAGUCUUGACGGUAUCUUAUCAGAAAGCCACGGCUAACUACGUGCCAGCCGCCGCAGUAA